This 253-nucleotide ribosomal RNA is filed under the name uncultured bacterium. RNAcentral's name for it is "partial 16S ribosomal RNA". It matches the Rfam family "Bacterial small subunit ribosomal RNA", at positions 524 to 776 of the family's 1533-position model. The record is from RNAcentral.
UACGUAGGGGGCAAGCGUUGUCCGGAUUUACUGGGUGUAAAGGGCGUGUAGGCGGAUCGUUAAGUCAGGGGUGAAAUUUUGCGGCUCAACCGUAAGGGUGCCCUUGAUACUGUCGGUCUGGAGUAUGGGAGAGGAAGAUGGAAUUCCUGGUGUAGCGGUGAAAUGCGUAGAUAUCAGGAGGAACACCGGUGGCGAAGGCGGUCUUCUGGCCCAUUACUGACGCUGAGGCGCGAAAGCAUGGGGAUCAAACAGG